Molecule: ribosomal RNA, 803 nt
Filed under: Sulcospira collyra
Lineage: Eukaryota; Metazoa; Mollusca; Gastropoda; Pachychilidae
Description: partial 16S ribosomal RNA
Rfam family: Bacterial large subunit ribosomal RNA
Source: RNAcentral
UUAAUAAUUUGUUUUAUAUUUUAGCUUACUGAGGAUAAGCUUGGUAAGAGGUAUAGGAAAAAUAUAUACUUUAAUGAAUUAUCUAGGCUUGAAAUUGGCCAUUGUAACAGAACUUGUUAUAAAAUAAUUCCUUUAAAAAAGAAAAUCUUUAUAUUUUUGUUCUAUAUUUUAAUAGAGGUAAAAGGUUAAACUGACAAGCCCUAUUUAUUUAUGCUAAAAUGAGUAUUUUUAAGCUGGCAUAUAUGGGUAAAUUGUCAAGAAUGCCCGUGAUAAUAUGCAAUUUUUUAAGUAAAAAUGAGAGGAAGGAACUCGGCAAAUUUUAGCUUCGCCUGUUUAUCAAAAACAUGGCUCUUUGUUAUUUUAAUAUGGAGAGUCAAACCUGCCCAGUGAAAUUUUUUAACGGCCGCGGUACCCUGACCGUGCAAAGGUAGCAUAAUCAUUUGCCUUAUAAUUGAAGGCUUGUAUGAAUGGUUGGACGAGAGCGCUGCUGUCUCCCCCUCAAUAAAUAAAACUUGACUUUUAGGUGAAGAGGCCUAAAUAUAAUUGAAAGACAAGAAGACCCUGUCGAGCUUAAAAACUAGAUUAGGUACAGGUAUAGGGUGACCUAAAUUUACUGCUAAUUAUCUUUUUUGGUUGGGGCGACCGAGGAACAACGAAAGCUUCCUUUUUUGCAUUAACUUAUAGGUAUCGAUCCAGCCUAAAGCUGAUUUAAAAAAUUAGUUACCGCAGGGAUAACAGCAUAAUCUCUCUUGAGAGACCAAAUCGAAAGAGGGGGUUGUGACCUCGAUGUUGGACUAGAAUAU